This 492-nucleotide ribosomal RNA is filed under the name uncultured bacterium. RNAcentral describes it as "partial 16S ribosomal RNA". It matches the Rfam family "Bacterial small subunit ribosomal RNA", at positions 29 to 507 of the family's 1533-position model. The record is from RNAcentral.
AGUGAACGCUGGCGGUAGGCCUAGCACAUGCAAGUCGAACGGCAGCACAGUAAGAGCUUGCUCUUACGGGUGGCGAGUGGCGGACGGGUGAGGAAUACAUCGGAAUCUACUUUUUCGUGGGGGAUAACGUAGGGAAACUUACGCUAAUACCGCAUACGACCUACGGGUGAAAGCAGGGGAUCUUCGGACCUUGCGCGAUUGAAUGAGCCGAUGUCGGAGUAGCUAGUUGGCGGGGUAAAUGCCCACCAAGGCGACGAUCCGUAGCUGGUCUGAGAGGAUGAUCAGCCACACUGGAACUGAGACACGGUCCAGACUCCUACGGGAGGCAGCAGUGGGGAAUAUUGGACAAUGGGCGCAAGCCUGAUCCAGCCAUACCGCGUGGGUGAAGAAGGCCUUCGGGUUGUAAAGCCCUUUUGUUGGGAAAGAAAAGCAGCAGGUUAAUACCCCGCUGUUCUGACGGUACCCAAAGAAUAAGCACCGGCUAACUUCGUG